UACAGAGGGUGCGAGCGUUAAUCGGAAUCACUGGGCGUAAAGCGUGCGUAGACGGUUGCGUAAGUCAGAUGUGAAAGCCCCGGGCUCAACCUGGGAAUUGCAUUUGAGACUGCGUAGCUAGGGUGCGGAAGAGGGAAGCGGAAUUUCCGGUGUAGCGGUGAAAUGCGUAGAUAUCGGAAGGAACACCAGUGGCGAAAGCGGCUUCCUGGUCCAGCACCGACGUUCAGGCACGAAAGCGUGGGGAGCAAACAGG
Molecule: ribosomal RNA, 253 nt
Filed under: uncultured bacterium
Lineage: Bacteria
Description: partial 16S ribosomal RNA
Rfam family: Bacterial small subunit ribosomal RNA
Source: RNAcentral